UACGGAGGGUGCGAGCGUUAAUCGGAAUUACUGGGCGUAAAGCGCACGCAGGCGGUUUGUUAAGCUAGAUGUGAAAGCCCCGGGCUCUACCUGGGAUGGUCAUUUAGAACUGGCAGACUAGAGUCUUGGAGAGGGGAGUGGAAUUCCAGGUGUAGCGGUGAAAUGCGUAGAUAUCUGGAGGAACAUCAGUGGCGAAGGCGACUCCCUGGCCAAAGACUGACGCUCAUGUGCGAAAGUGUGGGUAGCGAACAGC
RNAcentral lists this ribosomal RNA (253 nucleotides) under uncultured bacterium. Its description in RNAcentral is "partial 16S ribosomal RNA". It matches the Rfam family "Bacterial small subunit ribosomal RNA", at positions 524 to 776 of the family's 1533-position model. The record is from RNAcentral.